This 4645-nucleotide long non-coding RNA is filed under the name Gallus gallus (chicken). The record is from RNAcentral. Lineage: Eukaryota; Metazoa; Chordata; Aves; Galliformes; Phasianidae.
CAGUCCAGAUAUGCAGUGUUGUCAGAUAAAACAAAAGUGCAUGUUGUACUCUUGGUCUAUUUUAAGACUUAAAUGAAAACCGUGCUUUGAAAAAUUGUUUCUGAACUGUAAUACAAUUGCAGAUAUAUUUGUCUUGCAGUGCUGAGCUCCUGAUUUUAUUUAUUCAAGUGAAAUACAUUUACAUUUUCAAAUCUAAUUACGCAUAGGGAGAUCUGUUCCUCAGCUAUAUUGAAACGAUUCAGGAAGAGGUUGCUGCAGGGUCUUUAUCUUUUGUGGGCCGUCCUUGAACUGCUUCGGGAGAAAUAAUACGAGUGGGCAAAGCUAUGUUAACAUUUGCUUGCCUGUUGCUAAUAGGAAACAGUGCACCACGCAGGUCUCAGAACUAACUGUCCACUUGAAAUAGUUCUGCCUAGUUAAAAAUUCCUUUAUGAAUAAUAAAUCACAGAGAUAAUGGUUUUUAUGACCAGCCCAUAAAACAUACUGUGUUGUUGAUUCUUUAUAUAUAUGAAAAUCCUACAGUCGUGUUGUAGACCUCUGCUUUUGGUUUGUCUGCUUGUUUUAAGUGGGCUUUAAAAACAAAGGCUUAUUUUGUAGUCCUGUUGUCUCAUUCAGUGAAAAAAUAGUAACUAAUCAAAAUACAGAUGAACUUCACUUCAGGUGAAUGGGAAAUGGCAGAGGCGUAUGAGUAGUUAUACUGAGGAGUGGAUAUGAAACAAGCUUAGUAAUGUCGAUGAUGAGAAACGUGUUACUUCAUGAAACUGUUUAAUAAAGUUAUGUAGAAAUAAUGCUAAAAUAGUGUUGAGUAUUCUUGUAAACUAAGUCGACUGGGAGAUGUCAGAACAGGUCAGUAUUUCUUUUGUGGAGGCAAAGCUGGAUGCCCAUCAGCUUUCAAUUGGAAAGCAAAAGUAGCUGAAUGUGUUUGUGAGCUUCCUUCAUGUUGCUUUCAGUUAUGGAUACUGUGUUACUGACCUCUUAACUGCAGUAAGCAAGCAGAUGAGAAAGUUAGAUAGUCUGUCCAAUGCUUCUGUAUAAAAUACCUUUAAAAACAUACUGUGCCUCUCCCAUAGGAGAUGAGAAGAGAAUUCAACUUUUGGUGAUAUUGCUGCCCUUGACACUGUAGGACUUAUUGACAGAUUUGUAUCAUUUCUUCUUCCUUUCAGCAGGUAAAAACAAAAUAUGCCAGUGAGCAACUUUGAAGACUCAGCCUCUACUCUGAUGGUUUUAUGUUUUAAGGUUCCUUCUUGACUCAGGAGAUCCGCUGGAGGGCCUUUUUGCAUUGCUGCAGUUCUGACUGUGCACCAGAUGCAGUUUAGUGAAGCUGCCGUAGCCUCCUUCAGGUGUAGGUGCCCCUAACAUUGCUCCUCUUAUCCGGUAUCUGUUGACCUCGGAGGUAUUUAUGAGUGGCUCUGGUUAGUUUGGUCCAAGUGACAGUUUUUAGAAGUUGGGGAUAGACAAUGGAGAGAUCUCUGUAAAGGGGUUGUGGCUGUUCUUCCCUGCAUGAAAUUGUAAGAUAUUUCUUUCCUUCUUUCUGUAAAGCAUCACAGUUAAUUACUGUACAGACUGGAGAGGAAAAAGCUUAUUUCUUAGUGAAGUGUAGCACUGGCAUCUCCUGGUGUGAGUUUCAGAAGGAAUAUUGGGAUUGCCAAUCUCCUCUGUUUGCUGAGGACAAAAGAAUAUCAUCUGUCUGUUUCAGUUUUGAAACCCAAGUAUGUUAGUGGAGGUGCUAAGUGCAGAUAAGGCAGUUGGUGUCCAGUUCUGAAUCACAUCCAGACAAGCUCCCUUAUGUGAAUGGGGAACCAGAGUUUCACCCAGUUCUUACCACUUGUAAUACAAACAGAGAUGUUGACCUGCUUGCUUUCCUUGGAGAGCUGAAUUCUUCCCACAGGCGAUCUGCUGGGCUUUGGGGCAGGUAGCUAAAAGCUGUGAAGGAGCAAGGAGCAGUAAGCAAUAGUCUGUGGAGAGUUCAGGAAUCACCGUGGGGAGGAAGCUGUAAUUGGAUGAGUGAGGACAGCAAAAUAAGGAAGUCCAGCUCCGAGAGGUGAGGGAAUCAUUGUUCUAAAGACAAAAGAGAAGGUGGAGUUGCUAUUUGCUGGCAGGAGUGGAAGAGGAGUUGCAGGGCAUGGUACCUUGUGGUACCAGCAGUACAGCCCUGCAUGCUCUGUGCUGAGAUGAAUAUUUCAGCUCCUAAAAUUUUCUCUUCCACCUUCUUCCGGUAAAGUGAAUACGUUUUCUACGUUUACUCUGUAGAAAAAGUUGAUCAUAUAAACAUAGAUGCUUAGAGAGGUUACAGAUAGAAGGUUAUAGCUGAAGAAAAAGGGUGAUUUCAAACUUGUUUGGUCCCCAACUUCAUUUUUUUCCCCUCCAGGGUGUGUUUUGUGAUAAUUUUCAGCAGUUUGAAUAUUUUUUUAAGUUCCAUGUCAUAAUACUAUAGAAGAAAGCAGGUAGAGAUAACAAGAAAUUGAUUGACUUAAGGACUAUGUUGGGCCUGAAAUAAGGAAAAUAAAUGUGGGAUUCCCUGUUGUGAAGGCAAUGAAAGCAGUUUCCCAGAGCAGUGUUUUGCACAGUGGUCCCUGUAGGUCAGACUUUGACUGUCAGAGCACCAUUUAUGAGAGGUGGUUUUUGGAGUAGUUGGCCCACAGAAGGUCUACAAACAAGUUAGACUGCAGGUAACCAGAAGUAGCACACUGAGGCUUUCCUGGAAGAAAUCUGUUAUUUUUAAUCCUGGAUGCAAUGUUGUAGAACUCUAUUUUUUCUCUGUUAUCCUUUUCCUGAUCCCCGCCAUCUAUCAUUUACUUCACACUACUGGAGGAGGAGCUCAUAGUACACAAGAAAUCAAUGGGCAAUUCAUCUAAUUUAUCUGACUUUUUUUUCUCGGUAGACCUUUUAAAAGAAGUUGGCAUUAUGGCAGAAUGUGCCUUGGAAAAAACUACAGGGUACUGCUGGCCUGCUGACAGAUGGCCUUGUCGCAUCCUCAAGGCGAUGCACAUCCAGCUUCUCUGUGAAGGAUAAGACACUGAAGUGGUUUGAGGUUUUCUUGAAGCAGCACAUCCAGAGUGCAGUGACACAGUAUGCCACCACAGUGACACAGUAUGCCACCAGAGCUCUGUUACAGGGAGUCCUACAAGGAGUAAUUUUUAUUUCCGCUAUAAUCAUCUGCCUGAUAACUGGCUAAAGUGUUUGAUGAUGUUUGAACUAAUGGUAGUGUUACUUCUCUUUUGUCACAUCUGGGGUUUAAUCCAGAGUGUUUGAACACACUUCUUGAGAAAUGCAAGUUAUUUAGUUUUCAGUCUCUAGCUUUCAGUCUCUUUACAUCUUUGCUCAACACUGUGCUUUCUACGUGAGAGAAUAUUAUGGUUUUGACUUUGUCCUCAAGGCAUAAAAUGUUCUGAACUCAAGACAGUCUGAAAUUUCUGGAUGAGGCCUCUCCUUCAGCAGCAGGAGCAUUCUAAUUAAGCAAGGAGAGUUGAUCUGCAAGUUAAUAGGGGUUGGAAAUUUUAUUUUCUAGUGUAGCAUAGGAUUGAAAUGAAUUUCCAUUAAACAUCAUUAUGGUCUUUCCUUUCUAGACCAGCUGCCAAGUGCACUUCCUGUAGCAAGAUAGAAAAGAACAUACGUGGUCAAAUAAAGAAACUAAAAAUUUCCAGAUAGGAGAGGGGAUAAAUUGUGAAAGUUAGUAGUUAGAGCAAUUGGUACAGAAAUACAGUGAGGUACUCUGACCGAUGUAGUUGCACUAAAGCCUUUUUGGAAUAAAACACGGUAGCUUGUUGCAUUUAGACUAAUUUACUGUGCCAUAUUUUGGUAUACAUAAUGUAGGAAUCUUGGAUCCUGAUGUGCGCAUGAGGAAGCCUUCUGAGAUUAGCAUCUUCCUAAUACAGUGCACAAAAAUGUAAUCUGUUCAUCCACUUCUGCAGAUACCAGAACUGUUUUACAGUAAAAAUAAAGCAGUUUUGCAUUGAAGUCCAUCUCAAAGCGCAAGCAAGUUGCUGCUCUGCAGCAUUUGGCAGCUCUCAAAUAUGACUUGAAUGUAGAGUUAAGUAACAGUUCUUCUUUCUGUAGAGAGACUGUGUCUUGCAACUGUGUGUGGACGGAAGAGGGGAAUUAAAAACCUGUACCUCCCGUUUCUCUGGGAAGAACAUUCUGGAUAUUCUCUUAGUGAAGCAGCCUCUCCUGACUCUGCUGUUCUCCUCUGCCUUCCCAAUGAUGAAUAAAAGAGAGAGCAGAUGAGCAUAAAUGUUUAACAUAGACGAAAUGUAAUUAAUCAGGAAAAUUAGUAGAGUAUGCUAGCAUUGGUUACAAUAUAUUAGUGUUGCAUACAAUUGUCUGUCAGUCUCAGAUGCAUGAGGCUAUCUAAUUGCACUUCUCAUUUUUUGUUUCCCCUGACUUAAUUGCUUAAAGGAUACCAGGUCAUAGCCACUAACAUUAAUCUUCUACAUAAGCAAUUCCUGUAAUUGCGAUAGGAGAUUGCUUAUGGAAUUUAGCAAGGUGUGAAAAUACUCUGUUACUGUGAUUGAGGUGGGAGUGUAGCUGGCUGGAAAUUCCUUAAUGAAAUGUCAUGUCAUGAGAUGCUGAUUGACGCCAAAAUGUAUGGGAAAGAAUUACCAAUUAAAUAAUUUCUUUAGUUGGGUGUGGAAGUUCUGACUGCAGGGAG